Ostrea edulis (European flat oyster) is the source of this 669-nucleotide long non-coding RNA. RefSeq lists it as uncharacterized. The record is from RefSeq and is a predicted model, not a curated record. Lineage: Eukaryota; Metazoa; Mollusca; Bivalvia; Ostreida; Ostreidae. The transcript is spliced from 4 exons.
UAUCCCCGCACUUGUAUUCAGAAACCAAAUUACCGGUAGCGAAUUUAUAAAGUUUACUUAACAAAGGAGCCGUUCAUAAUGAGCUAUAGACAUAUUGUCACUAGCGCCGAUACGGAUAAUGUUUUAUUGACUGCAGAACACGAUAAUUCGUUUGGAUUGGACAAAUUAAAGGAUCUCGCCGAAACGUUGAGGGGAAGACGAGAGUUUGACGAGAGUUAGUUAAGCUUAACCAUUUGGAAGAGGAUAUUCAUUAUAUCAGUGCACUUCGUUAUCGACGUCAUCGGUAAUUUGUAUGUUAACAUAUAAUUACUUGUCAACUUCAACGGCGCUGAUUGUGGGUUAUUUUGAUGAAAACGGCAGUGUCAUAAAGCACCGAACCUCCAUAAGGGAUCAGCGGGGUUAGUCUUUGGGAUUACAGUAAGCUAAUUUGGGAUCGUGAAGCCCGGAUGUGUAGUUUAGAACAGAGCAGGUGCCCGCUUUUAAAGAUCACUCGGAAAAUGUCUUGAUUUCAUUUUGUUCCACGAGUGAGACAGCUUAUUGCUGACAAAAAGAGGAAGAAAUGAAAGUAGCCUAUUUACUUGGACUCGCUUGUGUUUUGUACGUACACGUGAAAGAUGGCUCACGGCAGGUGUGGCCGGUCAACAGGGGAUUGUUAUUCCUCCCAAGCAA